Non-coding RNA from Trichonephila clavipes, 80 nucleotides. The record is from the annotation of a GenBank genome assembly. Lineage: Eukaryota; Metazoa; Arthropoda; Arachnida; Araneae; Nephilidae.
GUCCCUGUAGCGCAAUGAAUAACCGCGCGCGCGUUGGACUUCUAAUCCAAAGGUCGUGGAUUCAAACCCCACCUGAAAUG